This is a long non-coding RNA of Bactrocera latifrons, 810 nucleotides long. RefSeq lists it as uncharacterized. The record is from RefSeq and is a predicted model, not a curated record. The transcript has 7 exons. NCBI's taxonomy places the organism in Eukaryota, Metazoa, Arthropoda, Insecta, Diptera, Tephritidae.
AGGUAUUGCGCUGAUUAUCGAUGAGAACUAUGUAUAUACAAUCGGAUGUGUCUGUGAAAAUGAUUUAUAUGUCAAGUGUCAUAGAAAAAUGUGAAGAGGAAGUGAAYAAGUGAAAUUGUGAAUGUGUUAAGUGAAAAAAAAAUUAAAAAAGUAGUGUGAUAUUGCAACGUGUAUGGAAAUAUCGCUGCAGAAUAUGGGAAUCGAUUACAUAAAAUUAGGAAAGUGGAUUCAGAACAGCAUGCCUAUCGGAAACUAGAGCGUAUUUCUUUCCAGUAAAAUGAAAGCGGUCAGAGAGGUGAAAAAAUCCAGUUCUACACGCUAAAUUUAUCACUAACAGCUUCAAUAAUAGCCUUAAAAUCUUGGGAACUGCUUAUUCGAUGCCAGAGACAGGCUCCAAUUAACAUUUUGCAACCUUCAUUCUCGAUUUACUAUAGAAAAAGGUUGUCGGAGACUUCAACAAGUUAAAUUAUGUAUCAAUCAGGAUGAAGCUCCUUCCGAAACCAUUAUUUUUAUGAUCUGAACUGGCUUGUGAUGUGGUCUACACUGCAGAUAUUUGGAUUUUGGGAACAAAAAGAAGUCACAUCUCACUAAAAGCGGCAAUAAAGCAAGAGUCAACAAUGAGUUUUGAUGUGGAAACAACACUUUUGCAGCUUUAAACGAUAUUCUGAAGCCAAUUAAAUUUGGAUCAUAAAUAUGUUGGGACUGUGUAUUGUCAUUCAUUUUCAAAAUAAUUCUAAAAGAAAUGUAUAUUAUGUUUAUAAAAAAUAUAGGUGUUUAUUAAUAUUUUAAAAAAGGCUUUGUACGAGCAUA